UGGAUUUCAAAUUACAUGAAGGGAUGAGGAACAAAGGCAAGAAAAUGAGUGUCGUCCUGUCCAAUGGUGUAGGCAAGUAGAGUAUGCCAAAUUGUACUAUAAAAACUACUCAAUUGCCUUAUGAAAAAGAGUAAUACUAGAGAGAGUAAAUUUUUGACCACACGAUUAACGGAUCCACGGAAUCUUCACAAAGAGGAUCUGAACUCCUACUUCUAUAUUUUAUUUUGUCAUCUUUUUUCACAUACGAUAUUUUAUUCUAUAAAGAGUUGUGGGACCUAAUUUCCCUACUCAUAUGUUGUAGGGUAGGCAAACUUGCAUCAUAGGAGCUAGUUUUUGUCUGCAUAACUCAUCAAAAUGAAUGUUUUUUUUAGUACAUUGAUAUUUUUACACUAAGGGGAGGAGAAGUUCAGUUAAGCUACAUAAUGGACAGUUGAAUUUGGUAUUGAAUUCGCCAUCCUCGAAAUUCGAACAUAAGAACUUUACAAAGAUGGAGAUGCUCUAAGCCUGUUUUGUAGACCAGCUUAGAUUGAAUAUGACCAUUAAAUUGAACGCUAGGUCAAGUUGUUGUACGAUGAGGUAGAAGUAUAACAUGAAUAGGAUUCCGGGUCUUGGACUUUGAGUCCAGAAUACCGCUGGCUUCAUAAAACCAGUCCCAGGACGCGAGCGCUAACGCACAACCCUCCACCUUCUUUUUCUUCUAUGAUUUCUCCGAUCUGGUUUCUUCUUUGUACAUUCACACGACCACAUGCGGUUUCCAUGACAACUUAUUCAAAAUGCCGCUUGUUUCCCCGAAAUCGAUAUCAAUUCCGGUGAUUUCAUUCCCACCUUGUAAAUUUGUAGUUAUUUGUUUGAAAUUUAUUUGCAUUAUUUCCGAUGUUUUUAAAAUGUAAUUAUUUGUCUAAUCCAACAUUAAUAUUCUUGUCCGAAACAAAGAAACCGAGGCUUUGAAUAAGGUAAAACUUGUUAGGCGAGUCAAUAAUAAAUCUGUGGAUGACGUAUCUGUGUAGUUACAUCACCUAUCAAAAACAUUAUCCCCAAUUUUGAAUUGCUUUUCAUUUUAUUUUAUUUUUAUAUUGGGAUGGAAUGUAAUUAUUAUUACUAAAAACAACCGAAGAGGCUUCAAAUUAUUCAUAAAUUUUAGGAUAAAUUAAGUUCUCAUUCCUUGUUUCUCCUUGUUAUUAAUUAAAAUCUUAUUCCUUUUUCUUUUUUGAUCAAGGUCGCUUGAUUUUUUUUCAUGCCAUUAUUUGAAUAUUAAAUUAUUUACAGGUCUUUAUAUGUCAAUUUAGAAAAAAGUAUUAAUCAUUUUCAAAUAUAAUCUUUUUAGUAUUUUUUUCAUAUAUCUUUAUUUAUAAUUUGUAUCUUUUUUUUUUAAUUUAUACCAAUAUUGACACACCUUGACCGAAGUCGAGGCAUGUUGGCCAUCACAUGAGGGUGAUGUAGCCAAGUGCACAACAGAAGUGAUAAUAAUAAGAAAAUGUGAAUAAAUAAAAACCAAAACUAAACUUAUUUAACUAGAGAUAAUAUAUAAGUGUGCGAAAGUGAUCAAGUAUAUGAUACACACAUAUCAUAGCAUAGGUAACACGAAAG
RNAcentral lists this long non-coding RNA (1587 nucleotides) under Malus domestica (apple). RNAcentral's name for it is "long non-coding RNA (MDOM_LNC021241)". Lineage: Eukaryota; Viridiplantae; Streptophyta; Magnoliopsida; Rosales; Rosaceae. The record is from RNAcentral.